AUUGAACGCUGGCGGCAGGCUUAACACAUGCAAGUCGAGCGGGGUGAUGGUGCUUGCACUAUCACUUAGCGGCGGACGGGUGAGUAAUGCUUAGGAAUCUGCCUAUCAGUGGGGGACAACAUCUCGAAAGGGAUGCUAAUACCGCAUACGUCCUACGGGAGAAAGCAGGGGAUCACUUGUGACCUUGCGCUAAUAGAUGAGCCUAAGUCGGAUCAGCUAGUUGGUGGGGUAAAGGCCUACCAAGGCGACGAUCUGUAGCGGGUCUGAGAGGAUGAUCCGCCACACUGGGACUGAGACACGGCCCAGACUCCUACGGGAGGCAGCAGUGGGGAAUAUUGGACAAUGGGGGGAACCCUGAUCCAGCCAUGCCGCGUGUGUGAAGAAGGCCUUAUGGUUGUAAAGCACUUUAAGCGAGGAGGAGGCUCCUUUGGUUAAUACCCAAGAUGAGUGGACGUUACUCGCAGAAUAAGCACCGGCUAACUCUGUGCCAGCAGCCGCCGCAG
Molecule: ribosomal RNA, 503 nt
Filed under: uncultured bacterium
Lineage: Bacteria
Description: partial 16S ribosomal RNA
Rfam family: Bacterial small subunit ribosomal RNA
Source: RNAcentral